Prunus avium (sweet cherry) is the source of this 1176-nucleotide non-coding RNA. Lineage: Eukaryota; Viridiplantae; Streptophyta; Magnoliopsida; Rosales; Rosaceae. The record is from RefSeq and is a predicted model, not a curated record.
UACAUGGAACUCUCUCUAAUUGCACUUUUCCACAAGCUCCAGUAACGAUGCACUGUUUUUCUUUUCUUUUUAUUUAUUUAUUAAUGUUUGUGUGUUACAACAAUUACGCCUUGCGGUAUUAAAAUCAAUGGAGUUGAUUUUGGAAACUUGUGUAUUUUUGUAACUCAGAAGAAGCUUGGUACAAAUGUAUACAGACUCCAUAUUCAUUCCUGGGAGAAUGCAUCUUGUCACCUUUGCAACAGUUCGUUUAAAUCUAUACACCAUAUACUAAUUGCUUGCCCAAAGGCUUAGGAACUGCUUCAAUUUGCAUUGGAAAAUUAUACAUACUUUCUUUUCAAAUUUCAGUGACUGGUUAGUGGGAAAUAGUAUGAAUAAUGAUGAAAACUACAAGUGAGGAUGAUACUAUUUUUUUCUUGAUAAGUGAGGCAGGGAAAUCGUCAAUUUGGUUCAGAUUGUCAAUCUUCUGUGUUAGUCCAAGACCGGAAGAUUAAUAUGGCCAAGAGUGUACUAGUUGUUGUCAAUGUGGGUUAUAGGCUUUUGGGCGGUGGAAAAAAGGCUAAAUGAAUAUGGGGUGUAUGGUGGUGAUGGCUAUUAUCUGACUACUUUGGAAUUGGUGGAUCUUUGAAGAUGUUGGAGGAUGGAAGUGGAGGAGGUGUGGGAGAUGGUCAAGUUUUGGGCAGCACUUCAGGCUUUGGGAGUCUGUUGAACAAGGAGUGGCAAGUGAGGGAGAGAAUUGCCCUUCGAAUUACUUUGGCCUUCCCUUGGGGGAAUAUUGCUGAGUAGCGUCCUUCCAAUCUUUCAGAUUGCCUAAUAGGGUUGCAAGGAGGACUAAGAAGUUGAUACAGGAUUUUGUGCGGGAAGGAUGUGAUGAAGGAAGAUAGGAUCACCCAAUUAUUUGGGAUAUUGUUCAGAGACCAAUAGUGAAGGGAGUGGUAGCCAUCGGUAGCUCAAUGAGAGGAAUCACUUUUAUCUUAUUAUUUACUUUUUGAGAAUAAAAAAGAGACAUAAUUUGUGAAAGAAUCAUAAAAGUUGUCAAAGUUUCAGUGAAUUCGUGUGUAAAAUAAUCAUUUUGGAAGCCAAAUUUUUCGCAUCAAAUAAAAAAUGUACUUGGAAUUGUGAACAAGAUAGUUGACUUGUAAUCUGAGGUGUUGGUGGUGAGUGAGUGCCAAAUAAAGG